Molecule: transfer RNA, 60 nt
Filed under: Dipodomys ordii (Ord's kangaroo rat)
Lineage: Eukaryota; Metazoa; Chordata; Mammalia; Rodentia; Heteromyidae
Rfam family: tRNA
About the family: Transfer RNA (tRNA) molecules are approximately 80 nucleotides in length. Their secondary structure includes four short double-helical elements and three loops (D, anti-codon, and T loops). Further hydrogen bonds mediate the characteristic L-shaped molecular structure. tRNAs have two regions of fundamental functional importance: the anti-codon, which is responsible for specific mRNA codon recognition, and the 3' end, to which the tRNAs corresponding amino acid is attached (by aminoacyl-tRNA synthetases). tRNAs cope with the degeneracy of the genetic code in two manners: having more than one tRNA (with a specific anti-codon) for a particular amino acid; and 'wobble' base-pairing, i.e. permitting non-standard base-pairing at the 3rd anti-codon position.
Source: Rfam by way of RNAcentral
GUAACUCAGUGGUAGAGUGCUUGCCUUGCAUGCAUAAGGCCCUGGGUUCGAUUCCUCAGC